This 468-nucleotide ribosomal RNA is filed under the name uncultured bacterium. RNAcentral describes it as "partial 16S ribosomal RNA". It matches the Rfam family "Bacterial small subunit ribosomal RNA", at positions 28 to 507 of the family's 1533-position model. The record is from RNAcentral.
GACGAACGCUGGCGGCGUGCUUAACACAUGCAAGUCGAACGGAAAGGCCCUGCUUUUGUGGGGUGCUCGAGUGGCGAACGGGUGAGUAACACGUGAGUAACCUGCCCUUGACUUUGGGAUAACUUCAGGAAACUGGGGCUAAUACCGGAUAGGAGCUCCUGCUGCAUGGUGGGGGUUGGAAAGUUUCGGCGGUUGGGGAUGGACUCGCGGCUUAUCAGCUUGUUGGUGGGGUAGUGGCUUACCAAGGCUUUGACGGGUAGCCGGCCUGAGAGGGUGACCGGACACAUUGGGACUGAGAUACGGCCCAGACUCCUACGGGAGGCAGCAGGGGGGAAUAUUGCACAAUGGGCGGAAGCCUGAGGCAGCAACGCCGCGUGCGGGAUGACGGCCUUCGGGUUGUAAACCGCUUUCGCCUGUGACGAAGCGUGAGUGACGGUAAUGGGUAAAGAAGCACCGGCUAACUACGUG